UCGUGCUAGGUGGGGAGGUAGCGGUGCCCUGUACUCGCAAUCCGCUAAAGCGAGACGGAACUUUCCCUAGGUCUUGUUAUCGUAGGGUCUGCCCUAAGUAAGUGGUGUUGACAUUUGCUCCACGCAACGGAAACCCAUGAACCCUGUCAGGUCCGAAGGAAGCAGCAGUAAGUGGACUCUUCCGUGUGCCGUAGAGUUGCCUGAAUCGAGCAAACUGCUUAGGUAACGCCUGGGAUAACUUGAUCAAAGGAAGGUGCACGG
RNAcentral lists this signal recognition particle RNA (261 nucleotides) under Anaerobacillus sp. HL2. RNAcentral describes it as "signal recognition particle sRNA large type". It matches the Rfam family "Bacterial large signal recognition particle RNA". From Rfam's summary of the family: The signal recognition particle (SRP) is a universally conserved ribonucleoprotein involved in the co-translational targeting of proteins to membranes. Lineage: Bacteria; Bacillati; Bacillota; Bacilli; Caryophanales; Bacillaceae. The record is from RNAcentral.